This 292-nucleotide ribosomal RNA is filed under the name uncultured bacterium. RNAcentral's name for it is "partial 16S ribosomal RNA". The record is from RNAcentral.
GGACUACCGGGGUUUCUAAUCCUGUUUGCUCCCCACGCUCUCGCGCCUCAGCGUCAGUCUUCGUCCAGGCGGUCGCCUUCGCCACCGGUGUUCCUCCCAAUAUCUACGAAUUUCACCUCUACACUGGGAAUUCCACCACCCUCUCCGAGACUCUAGCUAAGCAGUUUCAGAUGCACUUCCAUGGUUGAGCCUUGGGAUUUCACAUCUGACUUGCAAAGCCGCCUACGCGCCCUUUACGCCCAAUGAUUCCGAACAACGCUUGCACCCUCUGUCUUACCGCGGCUGCUGGCAC